Molecule: ribosomal RNA, 297 nt
Filed under: uncultured bacterium
Lineage: Bacteria
Description: partial 16S ribosomal RNA
Rfam family: Bacterial small subunit ribosomal RNA
Source: RNAcentral
AUUGAACGCUGGCGGCAUGCUUUACACAUGCAAGUCGAACGGCAGCACAGGGAGCUUGCUCCCGGGUGGCGAGUGGCGCACGGGUGAGUAAUACAUCGGAACGUGUCCUAUAGUGGGGGAGUAACUAGUCGAAAGACUAGCUAAUACCGCAUGAGACCUGAGGGUGGAAAGACAGGGGAGUCGCAAGACCUUGCGCUAUUGGAGCGGCCGAUGCCCGAUUAGCUAGUUGGUGAGGUAAAGGCUCACCAAGGCGACGAUCGGUAGCUGGUCUGAGAGGACGACCAGCCACACUGGGAC